UGCAGUCGAGCGGUAGAGAGAGCUUGCUUCUCUUGAGAGCGGCGGACGGGUGAGUAAUGCCUAGGAAUCUGCCUGGUAGUGGGGGAUAACGUUCGGAAACGGACGCUAAUACCGCAUACGUCCUACGGGAGAAAGCAGGGGACCUUCGGGCCUUGCGCUAUCAGAUGAGCCUAGGUCGGAUUAGCUAGUUGGUGAGGUAAUGGCUCACCAAGGCGACGAUCCGUAACUGGUCUGAGAGGAUGAUCAGUCACACUGGAACUGAGACACGGUCCAGACUCCUACGGGAGGCAGCAGUGGGGAAUAUUGGACAAUGGGCGAAAGCCUGAUCCAGCCAUGCCGCGUGUGUGAAGAAGGUCUUCGGAUUGUAAAGCACUUUAAGUUGGGAGGAAGGGCAGUUGCCUAAUACGUAACUGUUUUGACGUUACCGACAGAAUAAGCACCGGCUAACUCUGUGCCAGCAGCCGCGGUAAUACAGAGGGUGCAAGCGUUAAUCGGAAUUACUGGGCGUAAAGCGCGCGUAGGUGGUUUGUUAAGUUGGAUGUGAAAUCCCCGGGCUCAACCUGGGAACUGC
RNAcentral lists this ribosomal RNA (571 nucleotides) under Pseudomonas palleroniana. Its description in RNAcentral is "bacterial SSU rRNA". It matches the Rfam family "Bacterial small subunit ribosomal RNA", at positions 56 to 624 of the family's 1533-position model. The record is from RNAcentral. Lineage: Bacteria; Pseudomonadati; Pseudomonadota; Gammaproteobacteria; Pseudomonadales; Pseudomonadaceae.